CGCGUAGAUAACCUGUCUUCAUGUCUGGAAUAAUACGCCGAAAGGGGUACUAAUACCGGAUAUUCUUGCUUUUCAUAAGUUAUGCAAGCAAAGGUGGCCUCUGCAUAUGCUACUGCAUGAAGAGGGGUCUGCGUACCAUUAGCUAGUAGGUGGGGUAAUGGCCUACCUAGGCGACGAUGGUUAGCGGGUCUGAGAGGAUGAUCCGCCACACUGGCACUGGAACACGGGCCAGACUCCUACGGGAGGCAGCAGUGAGGAAUAUUGCGCAAUGGGGGAAACCCUGACGCAGCGACGCCGCGUGAGUGAGGAAGGCCUUCGGGUCGUAAAGCUCUGUCAAGAGGAAAGAAGUGUACAAUGGCUAAUACCUGUUGUAUUUGACGGUACCUCUAAAGGAAGCACCGGCUAACUCCGUGCCAGCCGCCGC
This 424-nucleotide ribosomal RNA is filed under the name uncultured bacterium. RNAcentral's name for it is "bacterial SSU rRNA". It matches the Rfam family "Bacterial small subunit ribosomal RNA", at positions 114 to 518 of the family's 1533-position model. The record is from RNAcentral.